AUUGCAGCAGGCUGCAACAGUCAAACACUUAAUUGUGGCUGUGUUGUGUAGUUCAGACGCUACUAGCCCUUCAUGUUGUUCUAUUUCCACAACGAGCUACUCGGAGAGAAUCACAAGAUGUUUCCACACGUUGAUUCACUGUCGGAGGUUGUGCUAAGUCGAGCAGAGCAGGUUCGGUUAUGGGAAAAGUCCUUGGCAAAGCCGGAACAACUUGUUUGUUUUUGCCUCCCUGUUCUGCAUUUUUGGUACAGACGUCUCUGAGGGAGCUGGGAUUGCUGUUGUGGCUGCUUAGAGCCCAGUAAGACCAGCACCGGAAGCUAAACGCCCGAUCCUCUGCAGCAUUUCCCCUUUGCUUCUAUCAGCCUUCGCUGGGGGAGAGAGACAAGGGAGUCAACUGUGAAUCAUCUAGCCAGGUAAGAAGACCCCCCCCCCCGAACUGCAUUUAUUUGUUGUCUUUCAACUUUCGUUUUGCUCUGUACCUGCACAUUGCAUUUAGAUUAUUUAUUAUUAUUUAUUUUCAAUUUGUGUGCAGAAGGGCAGUUUUGUAUGUGUAUAGGUUCUGUGUGUGGAGAGGGGAGAGUGAUUAAAAACGUGUGGGGGCCUGGAAUAGGAUCAUUGACCCCAUUUCCCAUUUCUGUGCUUUAUUGCACAUGGAUUUCAGGAAGUAUGAAGAUGGCUA
This 679-nucleotide long non-coding RNA is filed under the name Podarcis muralis (Common wall lizard). RNAcentral describes it as "lncRNA (ENSPMRG00000004186.1)". Lineage: Eukaryota; Metazoa; Chordata; Lepidosauria; Squamata; Lacertidae. The record is from RNAcentral.